Molecule: ribosomal RNA, 254 nt
Filed under: uncultured bacterium
Lineage: Bacteria
Description: partial 16S ribosomal RNA
Rfam family: Bacterial small subunit ribosomal RNA
Source: RNAcentral
UACGUAGGGUCCGAGCGUUGUCCGGAUUUAUUGGGCGUAAAGAGCUCGUAGGCGGUUUCGUAAGUCGGAUGUGAAAACUCAGGGCUCAACCCGGAGACGCCAUCCGAUACUGCGAUGACUGGAGUCUGGUAGGGGAUCACGGAAUACCUGGUGUAGCGGUGAAAUGCGCAGAUAUCAGGUGGAACACCGAUGGCGAAGGCAGUGAUCUGGGCCAGUACUGACGCUGAGGCGCGAAAGCCAGGGGAGCAAACGGG